This 473-nucleotide ribosomal RNA is filed under the name uncultured bacterium. RNAcentral's name for it is "bacterial SSU rRNA". It matches the Rfam family "Bacterial small subunit ribosomal RNA", at positions 19 to 518 of the family's 1533-position model. The record is from RNAcentral.
AUGGCUCAGGAUGAACGCUGGCGGCGUGCUUAACACAUGCAAGUCGAACGGUCGCAAGACAGUGGCGCACGGGUGAGUAACACGUAGCUAACCCUGCCCCCCAAGUGCGGGGAUAAACGUCUCGAAAGGGAUGCUAAUACGGCAUAAGCUCACGGGAAGUAGAGGCCGGUGAGAAAAGGUUUACCGCUUGGGGAGGGGGCUGCGGCCCAUCAGGUAGUUGGUAGGGUAACGGCCUACCAAGCCGACGACGGGUAGGGGGCCUGAGAGGGUGAUCCCCCACACUGGGACUGAGACACGGCCCAGACUCCUACGGGAGGCAGCAGUGAGGAAUAUUGUGCAAUGGGCGAAAGCCCGACAACCAGCGACGCCGCGUGGGUGAUGAAGGCCUUCGGGUCGUAAAACCCUUUUCUGCGUGACGAGAACAGGACGGUAGCGCAGGAAUAAGUCUCGGCUAACUACGUGCCAGCAGCAGC